UUUGGUUAAGUUAGAAAGGGCGCACGGUGGAUGCCUUGACACUAGGAGUCGAUGAAGGACGGGACUAACGCCGAUAUGCUUCGGGGAGCUGUAAGUAAGCUUUGAUCCGAAGAUUUCCGAAUGGGGAAACCCACCAUACGUAAUGGUAUGGUAUCCUUAUCUGAAUACAUAGGGUAAGGAAGACAGACCCAGGGAACUGAAACAUCUAAGUACCUGGAGGAAGAGAAAGCAAAUGCGAUUUCCUGAGUAGCGGCGAGCGAAACGGAACAUAGCCCAAACCAAGAGGCUUGCCUCUUGGGGUUGUAGGACAUUCUAUACGGAGUUACAAAGGAACGAGGUAGACGAAGCGACCUGGAAAGGUCCGUCGUAGAGGGUAACAACCCCGUAGUCGAAACUUCGUUCUCUCUUGAAUGUAUCCUGAGUACGGCGGAACACGUGAAAUUCCGUCGGAAUCUGGGAGGACCAUCUCCCAAGGCUAAAUACUCCCUAGUGAUCGAUAGUGAACCAGUACCGUGAGGGAAAGGUGAAAAGCACCCCGGAAGGGGAGUGAAAGAGAUCCUGAAACCGUGUGCCUACAAAUAGUCAGAGCCCGUUAAUGGGUGAUGGCGUGCCUUUUGUAGAAUGAACCGGCGAGUUACGAUCCCGUGCGAGGUUAAGCUGAAGAGGCGGAGCCGCAGCGAAAGCGAGUCUGAAUAGGGCGUUUAGUACGUGGUCGUAGACCCGAAACCAGGUGAUCUACCCAUGUCCAGGGUGAAGUUCAGGUAACACUGAAUGGAGGCCCGAACCCACGCACGUUGAAAAGUGCGGGGAUGAGGUGUGGGUAGCGGAGAAAUUCCAAUCGAACCUGGAGAUAGCUGGUUCUCCCCGAAAUAGCUUUAGGGCUAGCCUUAAGUGUAAGAGUCUUGGAGGUAGAGCACUGAUUGGACUAGGGGUCCUCAUCGGAUUACCGAAUUCAGUCAAACUCCGAAUGCCAAUGACUUAUCCUUAGGAGUCAGACUGCGAGUGAUAAGAUCCGUAGUCAAAAGGGAAACAGCCCAGACCGCCAGCUAAGGUCCCAAAGUGUGUAUUAAGUGGAAAAGGAUGUGGAGUUGCUUAGACAACUAGGAUGUUGGCUUAGAAGCAGCCACCAUUUAAAGAGUGCGUAAUAGCUCACUAGUCGAGUGACUCUGCGCCGAAAAUGUACCGGGGCUAAAUACACCACCGAAGCUGCGGAUUGAUACCAAUGGUAUCAGUGGUAGGGGAGCGUUCUAAGGACAGUGAAGUCAGACCGUAAGGACUGGUGGAGUGCUUAGAAGUGAGAAUGCCGGUAUGAGUAGCGAAAGACGGGUGAGAAUCCCGUCCACCGAAUGCCUAAGGUUUCCUGAGGAAGGCUCGUCCGCUCAGGGUUAGUCAGGACCUAAGCCGAGGCCGACAGGCGUAGGCGAUGGACAACAGGUUGAUAUUCCUGUACCACCUCUUUAUCGUUUGAGCAAUGGAGGGACGCAGAAGGAUAGAAGAAGCGUGCGAUUGGUUGUGCACGUCCAAGCAGUUAGGCUGAUAAGUAGGCAAAUCCGCUUAUCGUGAAGGCUGAGCUGUGAUGGGGAAGCUCCUUAUGGAGCGAAGUCUUUGAUUCCCCGCUGCCAAGAAAAGCUUCUAGCGAGAUAAAAGGUGCCUGUACCGCAAACCGACACAGGUAGGCGAGGAGAGAAUCCUAAGGUGUGCGAGAGAACUCUGGUUAAGGAACUCGGCAAAAUGACCCCGUAACUUCGGGAGAAGGGGUGCUUUCUUAACGGAAAGCCGCAGUGAAUAGGCCCAAGCGACUGUUUAGCAAAAACACAGCUCUCUGCGAAGCCGUAAGGCGAAGUAUAGGGGGUGACACCUGCCCGGUGCUGGAAGGUUAAGGAGAGGGGUUAGCGUAAGCGAAGCUCUGAACUGAAGCCCCAGUAAACGGCGGCCGUAACUAUAACGGUCCUAAGGUAGCGAAAUUCCUUGUCGGGUAAGUUCCGACCCGCACGAAAGGUGUAACGAUUUGGGCACUGUCUCAACCAGAGACUCGGUGAAAUUAUAGUACCUGUGAAGAUGCAGGUUACCCGCGACAGGACGGAAAGACCCCGUGGAGCUUUACUGUAGCCUGAUAUUGAAUUUUGGUACAUUUUGUACAGGAUAGGCGGGAGCCUUUGAAACCGG
RNAcentral lists this ribosomal RNA (2166 nucleotides) under Bacillus thuringiensis serovar sooncheon. Its description in RNAcentral is "bacterial LSU rRNA". It matches the Rfam family "Bacterial large subunit ribosomal RNA", at positions 1 to 2166 of the family's 2925-position model. The record is from RNAcentral. Lineage: Bacteria; Bacillati; Bacillota; Bacilli; Caryophanales; Bacillaceae.